UUACGGCCAUAUCACGUUGAAACACCGGUCCUCGUACGAUCACCGAAGUUAAGCAACGUCGAACUUGGUCAAUACUUCGAUGGGUGACUGCUUGGGAAUACCAGAUGCUGUAAG
Molecule: non-coding RNA, 114 nt
Organism: Acanthosepion pharaonis
Lineage: Eukaryota; Metazoa; Mollusca; Cephalopoda; Sepiida; Sepiidae
Source: the annotation of a GenBank genome assembly